AUUGCGGACAGAACCCAACCUGAACAUAGUAAAUGCAUCUGGUUUUGGAAGCUAAGCAGGGUCAGGGCUGGUUAGUACUUGGAAGGGAGACCACUGGGAAAUUCCAGAGAUCUCCAGGU
This 119-nucleotide ribosomal RNA is filed under the name Pogona vitticeps (central bearded dragon). Lineage: Eukaryota; Metazoa; Chordata; Lepidosauria; Squamata; Agamidae. The record is from RNAcentral.